CCAAUAGCGUAUAUUAAAGUUGUUGCAGUUAAAAAGCUCGUAGUUGAAUUUCGGGGUUCUUCCGUUGGUCAGGCUAACAAGUCUGUACUAGCGUGUAGAAUCUCUACCUUCUGGGGAACCAUCAUGUUAUUAAUUUAGCGUGGUGGGAAACCAGGACCUUUACCUUGAAAAAAUUAGAGUGUUCAAAGCAGGCUUACGUCUGAAUACAUUAGCAUGGAAUAAUAAAAUAGGACGGUGGUCCUGUUUUGUUGGUUUCUGAAUCACCGUAAUGAUUAAUAGGGAUAGUUGGGGGCAUUAGUAUUCAAUUGUCAGAGGUGAAAUUCUUGGAUUUAUUGAAGACUAACUUCUGCGAAAGCAUUUGCCAAGGAUGUUUUCAUUAAUCAAGAACGAAAGUUAGGGGAUCGAAGACGAUCAGAUACCGUCGUAGUCUUAACCAUAAACUAUGCCGACUAGGGAUCGGACGAGGUUAAAUUUUAUUGACUCGUUCGGCGCCUUACG
Molecule: ribosomal RNA, 498 nt
Filed under: uncultured Glomeromycotina
Lineage: Eukaryota; Fungi; Glomeromycota
Description: partial small subunit ribosomal RNA
Rfam family: Eukaryotic small subunit ribosomal RNA
Source: RNAcentral